CAGCCACAUCACAUUGAAAAACCAGUUCCUCUAAGAUCACCGAAGUUAAGCAACAUGGAGCCUGAUCAGUAUUUCGAUCGGUGACCACAUGGGAAUACCAGGUGCUGUAAG
This is a non-coding RNA of Acanthosepion pharaonis, 111 nucleotides long. The record is from the annotation of a GenBank genome assembly. Lineage: Eukaryota; Metazoa; Mollusca; Cephalopoda; Sepiida; Sepiidae.